CUCCUCUCAGAGUCACACCUGGAGAGUUUCCAGUACUCUACCAGCCUCGGCCAGGGGUGGGAGAGCCAAGCAGGAGCAUACCUAGUCCAUUGCUAGCUUGGGCAGUGGCUAGUAAGUGGAAGGCAAUCUGCUACAAGU
Molecule: small nucleolar RNA, 138 nt
Organism: Tachyglossus aculeatus (Australian echidna)
Lineage: Eukaryota; Metazoa; Chordata; Mammalia; Monotremata; Tachyglossidae
Source: RefSeq, a predicted model, not a curated record